RNAcentral lists this unclassified non-coding RNA (1646 nucleotides) under Rhagoletis pomonella (apple maggot). RNAcentral's name for it is "group XIIA secretory phospholipase A2-like, transcript variant X1". Lineage: Eukaryota; Metazoa; Arthropoda; Insecta; Diptera; Tephritidae. The record is from RNAcentral.
CUUAUACUUCCAACAGUUGUUUUUCUAGUCGCAUUUUGUCAAUUUUCGUGCAGCGAUUUGUUUUUAUUAAAUCAUUUAUUUAUUGAAAAUAUCAAUCACCAACUAAGCCGCGGACCAUGCAUUUUCCUUACAUGAAAAUUGCCAUCUACGUGCUAACGUUUCUUACCUACGCAUACUCGGGAUAUGGCUCCAGUACGAUUGUGCAUCUGCGAGACGCCAUCAUCGCGGCAGAGGCAAUAUUCGGUGAUGUUUUCAAGAAUCUGGUGACGGUUGUCAGGAAGUUCCGCACAGUGCAUGAAGUAUUCGAUGCAGCGGUGGACGAGAAUUGCAUAUUUCAAUGUACAGGACCAGAUGGAAAACCAACAGAUGUACGUCCCGUCCAGAAUAAACUUUACACCCCCACAGCCGAUGGCUGUGGCUCGCUAGGUCUACGCAUCAACACCGAAUACUUGCCCGCGGUAGAAAUGGAGAACUGCUGUAAUGAGCACGAUAUUUGCUAUGACACAUGUAACAGCAACAAGGAGCUAUGUGAUUUGGAUUUCAAGCGCUGUCUUUACAAGUAUUGCGACACCAUUGAUAAAUCCGUUGGCAGUGAAUAUCUCAUAACCAGCUGUAAAGCUGCUGCCAAAGUGCUAUUCACGGGUACCUUAACGCUAGGUUGUAAAUCAUAUUUGGAUUCGCAAAAGCGUACAUGUUACUGCGCGCCGCCGAAGCAAUCGAAAGAGGAUGGGCGUGGCUACAACGGAUAUAAGAACGGAAAUGGUGAUAAGUAUUAUAAGCAGGGCAAGAAGCAGAAAUAUGGCUGGAAGGAUCCAAACGAUAUGUAGUGCUGCCGCUGAGUUAAAGCUACUGGUGCUUCCGCUUAAGUAGCUGCAUUAUGCGUUUUCUUUAGCAACUUUGUUUCUUCAUGUUAUUGUUCAACGCACACAACAUAAAUUAAUUAAAACACAUUUGCAAUAGUAUUUUGAACAUAUUGCUAAGAUGAGAGAGAUGUACAUAGUCAAAUGUAUUUUUUAGAAGUUGAAAACUUUCGAGUGAAUUUAUUUACAUAUUUGUUUAUUUACUAUUAGAACCAACGAACUUGUCCAAGGGAAGAUAUGUAUUUUAGAUUUUAUUACAAAAUAAAACUAAUUCGUAAUUACAUACUAUAUAAUAUUCUAACUUACAUUUGUAAUUAUUUAGUUAUUUAAGCUACUUCUUUCCAAUUGCGAUUUUGCAGCAGUAUAAUAGGACAACUGGUGCACUUUUACUCGGUACUCAAUAUUUGGCUUCUGACUGUCCACCAUCACUUCCAGCAACCAUUUGUGACCUACAAGAGAGAAUGCACAAGCUUAUCAGAAGCGAUAAGUAACACGUUUUCGGCGCAGGCAAUAACCCGACAGCAUCCACCAGGACGUCGUUGAGGACCAUGAUCCCGAGAGAAGGGUCGCAAGACAAGUAAAAAAACCAGUAGAACUUUCAAACACGCCUUACUCUUUUUCGAUGGCAAAUAUUGUAGACGAGGGCACGAAAAGGGGUAUACGGGUAUAAUUUAAUUAAGAUUACUGAGUUCUAGUUACACUGUUGACUAGAUAGAUGUCUUCUGAAUGAAUACAAAUGUUAUGAAACAUUGUAGUCAAAGAGUUAAAGAAUCAACUGUAUAAUUU